CAUCCCCAUGAUGAAUAUUUUCCAGAAUUCUAACGUUAAAAGUAGACUGAAAAUUCUUGAUGCGAAAUAAUUUUUCUGAGGGAUG
Molecule: small nucleolar RNA, 85 nt
Organism: Salvia hispanica
Lineage: Eukaryota; Viridiplantae; Streptophyta; Magnoliopsida; Lamiales; Lamiaceae
Product: small nucleolar RNA R21
Source: RefSeq, a predicted model, not a curated record